Molecule: regulatory RNA element, 97 nt
Organism: Clostridium sp. FS41
Lineage: Bacteria; Bacillati; Bacillota; Clostridia; Eubacteriales; Clostridiaceae
Rfam family: pemK RNA
Source: Rfam
AUAUUGAUACUUCUGUCCAGUCACAGCCCCCUUUGAACAGGGGACCACGCAAUGAGGGCAGCCGACAGAGAUCCUGCCGGGGGUGAAAUUCCCAUGA